GUUUGAUCAUGGCUCAGAACGAACGCUGGCGGCAGGCCUAACACAUGCAAGUCGAGCGCGUGUAGCAAUACACGAGCGGCGCACGGGUGAGUAGCGCGUGGGAAUCUACCCUAUGGUGGGGGACAACCUCGGGAAGCUGAGGCUAAUACCGCAUAAGUCCUUCGGGAGAAAGACUUCGGUCGCCAUAGGAGGAGCCCGCGUCCGAUUAGCUAGUUGGUGAGGUAACGGCUCACCAAGGCGACGAUCGGUAGCUGGUCUAAGAGGACGGCCAGCCACACUGGGACUGAGACACGGCCCAGACUCCUACGGGAGGCAGCAGUGGGGAGUAUUGGACAAUGGGGGAAACCCUGAUCCAGCCAUGCCGCGUGAGUGAUGAAGGCCUUCGGGUUGUAAAGCUCUUUUAGCGGGGAAGAUGAUGACGGUACCCGCAGAAUAAGCCCCGGCUAACUUCGUGCCAGCAGCCGCGGUAAGACGAAGGGGGCUAGCGUUGUUCGGAAUUACUGGGCGUAAAGGGCGCGUAGGUGGCUCCGCAAGUCAGGCGUUAAAGACCCAGGCUCAACCUGGGGAAUGCGCUUGAGACUGCAGAGCUUGAGACCGGAAGAGGAGAGUGGAAUUCCCAGUGUAGAGGUGAAAUUCGUAGAUAUUGGGAAGAACACCAGUGGCGAAGGCGGCUCUCUGGUCCGGUUCUGACACUAAGGCGCGAAAGCGUGGGGAGCGAACAGGAUUAGAUACCCUGGUAGUCCACGCUGUAAACGAUGCGUGCUAGACGUUGGCAGGCCUAGCCUGUCGGUGUCGCAGCUAACGCGUUAAGCACGCCGCCUGGGGAGUACGGCCGCAAGGUUAAAACUCAAAUGAAUUGACGG
RNAcentral lists this ribosomal RNA (863 nucleotides) under uncultured bacterium. Its description in RNAcentral is "bacterial SSU rRNA". It matches the Rfam family "Bacterial small subunit ribosomal RNA", at positions 11 to 916 of the family's 1533-position model. The record is from RNAcentral.